GCCUCUUAGGAGCCACAGCAUCGCAUCUGCAGGAUCCGGCCACGGCUCGCUGGAGGAUAAAGCAGUGACGGCUCCGGGACCCCAGGAAGCAGACACCACAUGCCCUGUCUGCUGCGAUCUCUGCUUUCUCAGAUCUGCCGCUCACACUUUUCUGGCCUCUUCCUCUGGCCACCACAGCCAGCAUGCCUCUCCACAACAGCAAAUGCCUCCUGCCCUCCAUGCUCUGUGCUCCAGCCAUCCUGUGGCCAAAACCUUGCAGAGCCAGAGCCCGAGCGGCCUGAGCCAGGGCUGAGGAUGCCCCUGUGAGCAAAGCGGUGCCCUCACUGUCACCUUCGGGAUGUGACGUGGCUCCCUAGGGCUUCCUGGACGCCUGCAUCAGCAGCACAUGGGUGUCGUCUGCUCACGGGGAAGCACGUGAACACCUGGCUGUGCCUGACUCCCAUCAGCCACAAUGUUUGGUCUUAGGGAGGCUGCAAACCCAUCUGCCAGGUGACAGUCAAUCUCCUGAGGUGGACAGCCAUGAGGGACAGGUGCCACCUGGGCCUGCCCAGACCCGGGGUCUCAGUCAGAGAGAGGAGGACGGAGGGUCUGUCUGCUGGAGCUGGAUACCGCCGUAAUAUCAGGUGCCUUGAGAGGCAGGCACAAAGCCUAGCUUCCGUCCCAGGCAUGUGAGUGUGUGCUUUCAGGACGAGCGCAGCCCACACAACAGACCCUUUCUUUGCAAAGGAGACACAAAAUGAAGUGAAACAAUUCAAUGGCUGCUAAGAGGGUUUCUCAUCCUGGAUGCUACCUGAGUGUGUUCCACCUGGCCCACGACAGGCGCACCCUUCCUGGGGGAAACGGAACAGGGGCGCCAGUGCCUUCCCAGCUUUAGAUUCUUGCAUAGUUCAUCGCAGUACUGACUCAAGCUUAACGCUUUCAUUUGGGGCUUGCAGUUUUCAUCAUUACUCACCCCUAACGGCUCAGCAGUCUCUCUCAGCUGAGCUCCUGAUGUGCCUCAUUUACCCUUGAGCCUCGAGCCAGAGGGAGCUGUCUGUCUGUAAGGGCUUGUGUGAUUCAAUUAGGCCACUCUGCUCUUAUCCCUUAAAAGCGCACUGAUGAGUAACUUUAAUUACAUCUGCAGCAUCCCUCUGCUCUAUAAAAUGACACACGGACUGGAGUAGAACCAGGGCAGCUGCCAUGGGAGGUAAACUUCUGCCUGUCACCAGCUGUCACUGGGGCGGCUCUGCACUGGCUGCCCAGCCUUCAGGCUCUUCUCCUGUGUCCCAGGUCUCAGACCCGAGGAUACACCUGCUCUCAGCACAAUCAUGACAAAUGGAACAAACAAGGAAAGAUUCUGAGCAGUGUCGGAUUUAUGGGCUUGGCCAGCAGCCUUUCUGCAGGGCCACGUGGCCGGGUAAGCAGCUUGUCCAGCAGCACCCCAAGAGAGCGCGGUCCCCUCCGAACACCAAAAAGACUCAGGGUGCCACUCGUCUGCCAGACUGAGUGGUUCGUGCCUGAAACGCUCAGCAGGACAAGAUAAUUUCUGGAUCAUACAUGUGUCCAGUUUUGCUUGUCUGUACAGAUGGACUUUCCGUCUUACCUGUCCUGGACCUUGGUCCUGUUCAGCUUGUACAGACCGACCUCAAGUCGAAUCGGAGGUGCCAGUCUGCAAAGGUCCUUUAGGAUCAUUUACACCCAAACCAUGUGCGGGUGAUCAGGCCAACGGGCAUCUUCCUACUCAAGUGAGAGUCCUUCUCUAGAGGCGGGGGCGGCAGGAAGGAAAAUUCACGGGUCAAAUUCAGUGCAUUAUAACAAUAUGUACUGCCGAAUGGCUCCUCAAAAAAUAGCACUAUUUUAUCCUCAAAUUAGCAUAUUUGUGGAUUUAUCGCCCCGUGGUCCGACCACCCCGGAUAUUCUGACACAUUCAUACAAUGCUCUUCUCAACGGUUGCCCACCAGACAGGUAACAAGAACCUCACGUCGCCUUAGUUUCCUUUUCCAGAGUGGUAAUUAUUUCCUCACUGUCCCGUUGGGCAAACAGAAACCAGUUCAGUUAGUCUCAGACCAGUGCCUGUCGGGAUUGGAGAGAGGCGGCUGGAGGCCUGGGAACACACCGCGUUGCCCGAGACGAGAGAGGCCACGUGCAGGGAGCUGGCGCCGUCUGCCAGGCUGCAUGUGCCAAGGACAAGACUCGGGGCCUGCAGAGCCCACGCCCUUGGGAAAGGGCCAUCAGCUGCCCAUGCGGAUACCUCCGGGGCUGGGCAGGCAGAGGGCUACUCAGAGCUGGGACUCCGACCUUGCAGAAAGUCCUGCCCGGAGGACAGGUGGAACCGCAAGGUUCUAGAGGAAGACGUAGGGGUGCCUCUUCUUGACGUUAUAGCAUUUAUGAACUUGGCGUCAGAAAAGCUUUCUCGAAUGGAACUCCAAAGAAGCAAUAACCGUCAAGUCAAAGAUUGUUCAAUUGGACUUGGUUAAGAUUAAAGUAAAAAACAACAGCCACAGAUUGGAAGCAUGUAUUUGCGAUACAUUUAUCCCGUAAAUGAUUCAUGCCCAGAACAUCUAAAGAACUGUUGCAAAUGAAUUUUUUUAAAAAGAGCCCCAUUAAAACAAUCAAAAGUAGGAACAGGCCCUUCAAAAAAGAAGCUAUUCAAACGUCUAAGCAGGCUUGGAAAGCCAAUUAUACACCAUUACUGUUGAGGAAAUGCAAAUUAAAAUGAGUAUGUCAUACAUAGCACACACAUCAGAAUGGCUAAAAUUAAAAAGACUAAAUACAAAUUUUAAGACUGGCAAGACAAGCGUUGCUGAUGGGAGUGUACACUGGUAAAACAACAACUUGGGGAAACUGCUUGGCGAUAUCUAGACAGCUGAACACACAGGCACAGCCCUGGUGACACAGCCUGAGGGGGACUAUUGCUUAUGGUCACGGAAAGACAUGCAAGGAGGCAAAAGCUAGAAAAAUCAAGACAAUUAGAAAUUUUACAUCCCAAGGCAAACAGAUCCAUAUAUUUUGGUACACUCAAACCAUAGCACUAUAGCACAUGGCAGUGGUGAAAUGGACCAUUGCUACAUGAAAUAAUAUGAAUUUCACACAUAAUUUUGAGUGGAAAAACUGGGUAUUAAAAAGUACGUAAUGUGGAGUUCCCACUGUGGCUCAGUGGGUUACGAACCCGACUAGCAUCCGUGAGGUCUCGGUUUCAAUCCCUGGCCUUGCUCAGUGGGUGAAGGACCCUGCAUUGCCGUGAGCUGUGGUGCAGUGGGUUAAGGAUCCGGAGCUGUGUCACAGCCUAUGGCAGAGGUUGCAACUCCGGCCUCGGAUUCGAUCCCUGGCCGGGGAACUCCAUGUGUCCUGGGGCAGCCAAAAAAGAAAAAAAAAAAAAAGUCUACAAACAAUAAAUACUGCAGAGGGCGUGGAGAAAAGGGAACUCUCCUACACUGCUGAUGGGAACGUAAAUUGGUGCAGCCACUAGGGGGCACAGUAUGGAGGCUCCUCAAAAAGCUAAACAUAGAACCACGGGAUGAUCCUGCAAUCCCACUCCUGGGCAGAUAUCGGGAGGAAACCAUAAUUUGAAAAGAUACACACACCCCAAUGUUCACAGCAGCACUGUUUACAAGAGCCAAGACAUGGAAGCCACCCAAGUGUCCAUCCACAGAUGAAAGGGUGAAGAAGUUGUGUAUAUACACAAAGGAAUAUGACUCACCCAUAAAGAGAAUGAAAUAACGCCACUUGCAGCAACAUGGACAGACUAGAUAUUAUUAUUAUAUACCAAGUGAAGUCAGAGAAAGACAAGUAUCAUAUGAAAUCGCGUGUGAAGACUAAUUUCUUAGCUGAAACAAAUGAAAAUAAAUAAAUAAACAGCAAAGAAUAAGUUUAAAGUUGAUAAUCUCAGUAAGAUAUUCAUUCUGGAUGGUUGUUUCUUCAAUCCAAUAUAACCUCGUGGGACCCUCCAUAAUAUUAAUUUUGGGUGGAUUUCUGUUGAUUUUCCACCCUUCUUUGAAGAAGAGCUGUGUCCUCUGGUAUCUAAUGAGGUACCGGAUCUGAGCGAGCUCAGCAAGUCUGAGUGCUGUGCAAACCGAAGACGCGGCAGGUGCAUUAGGGGUGGACCUGCGCGGGUCGCAGUGUUAAGUUGAUCAACCAAAUGCCUAAGAACCAAAGACGCAGGAAAGCCUCGCCUUUUCUGUCCACAGGCCAAGCAACAGUCUAGGGACUGAUGAUCUACUGCCCUCUGCUGGUUCUGGUUGGAAUCCCUCCUCAAGAUCGAGUCCAGGAAAAAGGCCUCAGAAUAGGGUUUUUAGGGGUGUUUCCCCUUAAACACAAAACAAGCAAAAAAUAAAAUAAAAACAUGACGGUCCUGAUGUGUCGCCUUGAGCGAAUAUCCAGGAAGCAGGAAGCAUUCUGAUCCCACAUAAAAUUCCGGGUGGACGCUGCUUUGCCCUUCAUGUCACCCGAAGUCAUCCAAACAGGAGCAUGCCAGCCUGAGCCCAGGCGCCCGACCCCCAGUGGGCUCAUGACGGCUCCUCUCCCGGGAGUGGGGUCCAGCAGCGGCCCCGUCUGCAGAGGCCCAGUCGAGCAACUGUUCAAAGGCAGGAAAACUGCUGCCUCUCACCCUCUCUCCCGCUGGCUUGCGUUUCUCUCUGUAGCUGUAGCUGCGUGUCCCCGGCUCCACGUGCAAUGCACGUUUGCACGUCCACAGCCUGUUUUACGGUCUGUCGUGUGUCGGCCUCCCUUGUCGGUCUGUCUCCACUCUCCUGCCUGCUUUUCUCUGCGUUGUCCCUCUGUCUUUCUACAUGUGUCUUUGUUCAUGUGUCUAUUAAAGGGUCCAUCUUUCUGACCUGAUCUUUGUCGGUCUAUCAGGCUCUGUGUCUUCUGGUCUUUCUGUCAUUUUAUCUGUCUCGGUCUAUCUACAUAACUUCUCUUCUCUCGGGAUGUCUGUCUGUGUGUAUCAACACACACAGACAUCAUCUGUCAGUCUUUUUGUCUGUCUUUUAUCUGCAGGCUGUAUUUGUCUUUCCAGCUGUCUGUUUAUAUGUCACUUGGCUUAACAUUUGCGAGGAAAUGUGUGAUGUGUUGACUGAUGGCGUGAGUGCGUGCACCAGGGCAUGUGUGCAGUGCUGUGUUCAGGGGAGUGAGUGUGUGAGAUGCUGCGUGUAAGCACCUCACCCGGGGCGGGGGUGCCCUGUAUGACGGCACCUUAAAGACAC
This 5180-nucleotide long non-coding RNA is filed under the name Sus scrofa (pig). RNAcentral describes it as "lncRNA (ENSSSCG00050012651.1)". The record is from RNAcentral. Lineage: Eukaryota; Metazoa; Chordata; Mammalia; Artiodactyla; Suidae.